This 502-nucleotide ribosomal RNA is filed under the name uncultured bacterium. RNAcentral describes it as "bacterial SSU rRNA". It matches the Rfam family "Bacterial small subunit ribosomal RNA", at positions 28 to 528 of the family's 1533-position model. The record is from RNAcentral.
GAUGAACGCUAGCGGCAGGCCUAACACAUGCAAGUCGAGGGGUAUUAGGGGCUUGCUCCUAAGAGACCGGCGCACGGGUGCGUAACGCGUAUGCAAUCUGCCUUGUACAGAGGGAUAGCCCAGAGAAAUUUGGAUUAAUACCUCAUGGUGUAAUGAACUGGCAUCGGUUUAUUACUAAAGCUUCGGCGGUACAAGAUGAGCAUGCGUCCCAUUAGCUAGUUGGUAAGGUAACGGCUUACCAAGGCUACGAUGGGUAGGGGUCCUGAGAGGGAGAUCCCCCACACUGGUACUGAGACACGGACCAGACUCCUACGGGAGGCAGCAGUGAGGAAUAUUGGUCAAUGGUCGGAAGACUGAACCAGCCAUGCCGCGUGCAGGAUGACGGCCCUAUGGGUUGUAAACUGCUUUUGUACGGGAAGAAACACCGGUUCGUGAACCGGCUUGACGGUACCGUAAGAAUAAGGAUCGGCUAACUCCGUGCCAGCAGCCGCGGUAAUCACGG